AGUGGGGAAUAUUGGGCAAUGGGCGCAAGCCUGACCCAGCAAUGCCGCGUGGGUGAAGAAGGUCUUCGGAUUGUAAAGCCCUUUCGGCGGGGACGAUGGUGACGGUACCCGCAGAAGAAGCCCCGGCUAACUUCGUGCCAGCAGCCGCGGUAAUACGAAGGGGGCUAGCGUUGCUCGGAAUUACUGGGCGUAAAGGGCGCGUAGGCGGCCUUGUUAGUCAGGCGUGAAAUCCCUGGGCUCAACCUGGGGGCUGCGCUUGAUACGGCGGGGCUAGAGGACGGAAGAGGCUCGUGGAAUUCCCAGUGUAGAGGUGAAAUUCGUAGAUAUUGGGAAGAACACCGGUGGCGAAGGCGGCGAGCUGGUCCGUUACUGACGCUGAGGCGCGACAGCGUGGGGAGCAAA
This 402-nucleotide ribosomal RNA is filed under the name uncultured Roseomonas sp. RNAcentral describes it as "bacterial SSU rRNA". It matches the Rfam family "Bacterial small subunit ribosomal RNA", at positions 353 to 772 of the family's 1533-position model. Lineage: Bacteria; Pseudomonadati; Pseudomonadota; Alphaproteobacteria; Acetobacterales; Roseomonadaceae. The record is from RNAcentral.